RNAcentral lists this ribosomal RNA (393 nucleotides) under Triticum aestivum (bread wheat). RNAcentral describes it as "partial small subunit ribosomal RNA". The record is from RNAcentral. Lineage: Eukaryota; Viridiplantae; Streptophyta; Magnoliopsida; Poales; Poaceae.
AUGGACCCUUCCAGACCUUAUUCUCGUGGCUAUGCAUUGGAGUCGGAUGACGAAGAUCCCGAUGAAGAAGUUGAUGAGGAGGGGUUCACCGUGAAUGAGGCCGAAGCUUACAAGAAGGUAUUCGAUGACCAUUGGACACCAUUGUUCAAGGAUGUUACUCUCGCGGAUGAAGCCGUGGUAGAUGGCGACAAAGGUAUAUUUCUUGGAGUUAGGCCAACUUCUCACUGGGAUUUGGAGCACGGAAAGAAUGAUAUUGCUCUCAGGUCUAAGUUUGGAACCUUCUCGGAAUUGAAGAUGUGGCUCGACGACUACUCGGUUACGCAUUAUCGUCCACACAAGGUGGUUCACUCGGACAUCAAUGUGCGUUACACGGUUGCAUGUGAGGAGGCCUAA